CCGUCGAUAGCUCAGUUGGUAGAGCGGAGGACUGUAGAUAUCCUUAGGUCGCUGGUUCGAAUCCGGCUCGACGGA
RNAcentral lists this transfer RNA (75 nucleotides) under Caenorhabditis briggsae. RNAcentral's name for it is "tRNA CBG28156". It matches the Rfam family "tRNA". From Rfam's summary of the family: Transfer RNA (tRNA) molecules are approximately 80 nucleotides in length. The record is from RNAcentral. Lineage: Eukaryota; Metazoa; Nematoda; Chromadorea; Rhabditida; Rhabditidae. RNAcentral also lists the same sequence under 2 other names.